Neopsephotus bourkii (Bourke's parrot) is the source of this 545-nucleotide long non-coding RNA. RefSeq lists it as uncharacterized. The transcript is spliced from 2 exons. NCBI's taxonomy places the organism in Eukaryota, Metazoa, Chordata, Aves, Psittaciformes, Psittacidae. The record is from RefSeq and is a predicted model, not a curated record.
GAACUGUUUGAAUUGGCAGAAUGGUAAGUAAAGUGAAAGACUUUUUUCCUCCUUUGUUCAUCUGUCUCAUUGACCCUUUCUUUCAGAGAAGAAUUCAAAAACAACUUGGAUCUAUGAAGAAAUAUCUGGAACAAAGAAAUCCUGCAAGUGAAAAGAAGUCCUACAACUGGGAAAGACCAAAAAACAGCCAGUGUAACCACAGUGCUGGAUUUUCUAUGGAGAUAACCACUGUCGACAAAGCUCCUGUGUUCCUUCGAUUAACAUACUGUAGGUGGAAGCCAAAAACACUGGAUAAUGGAAAGAGUGGACAGACUUCAUUCAAACUUUUCCUCUAAUACCUUGCCAGUGUCAGAGGCCAGGGGAGUGUCUCACUGUGACUGGCAUUGCCCACAGCCUCCAUCCUGGGGAUUUACUUCCAGCAUCCUCUCAUCUCCAUGUCUACCUCCUCCUACAGUGGCACAGCUCUCAAAUGGAGGGUCUGCUCUUACAGAGCAUGGUGGGCACUCUGAUUUCUAGCAGUAGUGGGUAAAGUUCAGUGACUUGCA